AUGGAAAGUGCCUGGUACCUGGGAUUUUUGAUCCCAGGGAACCUCAUUUGCAGAGCAGUGGAUCACACAGAUCCUGAACUCAAUGAAUGGUCAUAUCUUUCCCUAAGUUUAUGUUCAUUCUGUCCUCUGAGAUUAUCUUUGAAGCCUCGUUAUGUAGAUGUCUGUAAAAAUCCUUCAAGCUAUGGACAGCCAAGUUCUGCCAUCUAAGGACCCUGCCCUUUCCCAAAAGUGUAUCUUGAGAAGGAAAAUAUGGCUGCUCUCUGCCAGACAGCAGAGUCCCAGGUGAGUUGGGGAUUUUCCUCUCUUCUCGGAAAUCUUAUUUUAAUUCCUGAAGCAAAUUUCUUUCUCUUAGUGUGAAGCUUGUCGAUUUCAUUAGCCAUAGCAGUUUGAAAGGAAAGGAUCAAGUGGUGGGAUGGACUGCCAACAAGAUGGUGUUUGGGGGUUCCACAGUUGUAUGGAAGUAGCAG
Molecule: long non-coding RNA, 467 nt
Filed under: Aotus nancymaae (Ma's night monkey)
Lineage: Eukaryota; Metazoa; Chordata; Mammalia; Primates; Aotidae
Description: lncRNA (ENSANAG00000039162.1)
Source: RNAcentral